GUGGGGAAUUUUGGGCAAUGGGCGCAAGCCUGAUCCAGCAAUGCCGCGUGCAGGAAGAAGGCCUUCGGGUUGUAAACUGCUUUUGUACGGAACGAAACGGUCCUGGCUAAUAUCCGGGGCUAAGGACGGUACCGUAAGAAUAAGCACCGGCUAACUACGUGCCAGCAGCCGCGGUAAUACGUAGGGUGCGAGCGUUAAUCGGAAUUACUGGGCGUAAAGCGUGCGCAGGCGGUGCUGUAAGACAGGCGUGAAAUCCCCGGGCUCAACCUGGGAAUUGCGCUUGUGACUGCAGUGCUGGAGUGCGGCAGAGGGGGAUGGAAUUCCGCGUGUAGCAGUGAAAUGCGUAGAUAUGCGGAGGAACACCGAUGGCGAAGGCAAUCCCCUGGGCCUGCACUGACGCUCAUGCACGAAAGCGUGGGGAGCAAACAGGAUUAGAAACCCCUGUAGUCC
Molecule: ribosomal RNA, 450 nt
Filed under: uncultured bacterium
Lineage: Bacteria
Description: partial 16S ribosomal RNA
Rfam family: Bacterial small subunit ribosomal RNA
Source: RNAcentral